Protopterus annectens (West African lungfish) is the source of this 398-nucleotide long non-coding RNA. RefSeq lists it as uncharacterized. The transcript is spliced from 3 exons. Lineage: Eukaryota; Metazoa; Chordata; Ceratodontiformes; Protopteridae. The record is from RefSeq and is a predicted model, not a curated record.
AAGGUGAGGGAGUGGUGAUGGGUAAAGGUUUGGAUAGAUUAGUAUAAAUGGGGAGGAGGUGAUAGGAAGAGGUUAUGUAAUGUGGUAGAGAGGGUAGGACAGUCAGGUGAAGGUGAGGGAGUGGUGAUGGGUAAAGGUUAGGAUAGAUUAGUAUAAAUGGGGAGGAGGUGAUAGGAAGAGGUUAUGUAAUGUGGUAGAGAGGGUAGGACAGUCAGGUGAAGGUGAGGGAGUGGUGAUGGGUAAAGGUUAGGAUAGAUUAGUAUAAAUGGGGAGGAGGUGAUAGGAAGAGGUUAUGUAACGUGGUAGAGAGGGUAGGACAGUCAGGUGAAGGUGAGGGAGUGGUGAUGGGUAAAGGUUAGGAUAGAUUAGUAUAAAUGGGGAGGAGGUGAUAGGAAGAG